This 253-nucleotide ribosomal RNA is filed under the name uncultured prokaryote. RNAcentral's name for it is "partial 16S ribosomal RNA". It matches the Rfam family "Bacterial small subunit ribosomal RNA", at positions 525 to 777 of the family's 1533-position model. The record is from RNAcentral.
ACGAAGGGGGCUAGCGUUGUUCGGAAUCACUGGGCGUAAAGGGCGCGUAGGCGGCCGAUCAAGUCCGACGUGAAAUUCCCCGGCUCAACCGGGGGCCUGCGUCGGAUACUGUUCGGCUCGAGUCCCGGAGAGGGUAGUGGAAUUCCCAGUGUAGCGGUGAAAUGCGUAGAUACUGGGAGGAACACCAGUGGCGAAGGCGGCUACCUGGACCGGUUCUGACGCUGAGGCGCGAAAGCGUGGGUAGCAAACAGGA